CCUACGGGGGGCAGCAGUGGGGAAUAUUGGACAAUGGGGGGAACCCUGAUCCAGCCAUGCCGCGUGUGUGAAGAAGGCCCUCGGGUUGUAAAGCACUUUCAGUGAGGAAGAACGCCUGGUGGUUAAUACCCAUCAGGAAAGACAUCACUCACAGAAGAAGCACCGGCUAACUCCGUGCCAGCAGCCGCGGUAAUACGGAGGGUGCGAGCGUUAAUCGGAAUUACUGGGCGUAAAGCGCGCGUAGGUGGCUUGAUAAGCCGGUUGUGAAAGCCCCGGGCUCAACCUGGGAACGGCAUCCGGAACUGCCAAGCUAGAGUGCAGGAGAGGAAGGUAGAAUUCUCGGUGUAGCGGUGAAAUGCGUAGAGAUCGGGAGGAAUACCAGUGGCGAAGGCGGCCUUCUGGACUGACACUGACACUGAGGUGCGAAAGCGUGGGUAGCAAACAGGAUUAGAUACCCUAGUAGUC
Molecule: ribosomal RNA, 465 nt
Filed under: Vreelandella stevensii
Lineage: Bacteria; Pseudomonadati; Pseudomonadota; Gammaproteobacteria; Oceanospirillales; Halomonadaceae
Description: partial 16S ribosomal RNA
Rfam family: Bacterial small subunit ribosomal RNA
Source: RNAcentral